RNAcentral lists this unclassified non-coding RNA (412 nucleotides) under uncultured Atheliaceae. RNAcentral's name for it is "sequence contains ITS2". The stretch from base 1 to 155 matches the Rfam family "5.8S ribosomal RNA". Lineage: Eukaryota; Fungi; Basidiomycota; Agaricomycetes; Atheliales; Atheliaceae. The record is from RNAcentral.
AACUUUUAGCAACGGAUCACUUGGCUCUCGCAUCGAUGAAGAACGCAACGAAAUGCGAUAAGUAAUGUGAAUUGCAGAUUUUCAGUGAAUCAUCGAAUCUUUGAACGCACCUUGCGCUCCUUGGUAUUCCGAGGAGCAUGCCUGUUUGAGUGUCAUUAAAUCAUCAACCCCACCGAUUUGUUUCGGCUUGGGGCUUGGACUUGGAGCGUGCUGGCGAAGGUCGGCUCCUCUUUAAAUGCAUCAGCGGAAGAACGCAUCUUUUUUCCCUUCAGCGUGAUAAUCCUGUUGCGCUGUGUGUGGGUCAAAGGUGUUCCGCUUAUAAUCGUCCUUCGGACAAACGAACCCAUCUAUUUUUGACCUCAAAUCAGGUAGGACUACCCGCUGAACUUAAGCAUAUCAAUAAGCGGAGGCU